Molecule: non-coding RNA, 72 nt
Organism: Truncatella angustata
Lineage: Eukaryota; Fungi; Ascomycota; Sordariomycetes; Amphisphaeriales; Sporocadaceae
Source: the annotation of a RefSeq genome assembly
GCUGCAUUGGUGUAGUGGUUAUCAUUAGCGCCUUCCAAGCGCUAGAGCCUGGUUCGAUUCCUGGAUGCAGCA